GAUCCUCCCACCUCGGCCUCCCAAAGUGCUGGGACAGGCGUGAGCCACUGCGUUGGCCAUUUCUAUUCGUUUUUGAUUUUGAGAAUUGCUUUUCUUUUUGUGUUUGUUUUGACUUAAAAAAUCAAUCAUGUACCCAGUUCCAAAGUCAAAACUGUAACAAGUAACAACCAAGUCAAUCCCCCUUGCAUCUCUGUUCUCUAUCCUUGUUCUUCCCCCUUUUCCGUUUGUUUUUGGUUUAUUUUUCCAUGCUUCUUUUUGCACAUACAGCAAGUAUGUAUAGUGAAUCAAAUUCCAUCCUCCUUUCUUACACAAAAUUAGCGUAUUCCAUCUAUAGUACUGCACCUUGCCUUUUGUUGCACUAUGUCCUGGACCUUGCUCUACAUGCUGUACAGCGUUUUUCAUAGUUAUUCACCCGGUGUGGAUACUACAGUGUAUUCAACUGUCCUCUGAUGAUAGACAUUUGCAUUCUUUACGGUCCUUUGUAAAUACAAACAAUGCUGCAAUGCAUAUAUCAUUCCACAUAUUCUCCAAGGUAUAUUUAGGACAGAUCCCAGAAGAGGAAUUUCUGGGUCAAUGGGCAAGUGUAUUUUGCUGAUUACUAUCCACCUUCCUCCUGUCGGGUUCCAUUUUGUGUUACUAUCAGCAAGGUAUGAGAAUGACUGUUUCUCCAUAGAACUGGAACUUUUACAGUUAAUUUUAUCUCACCUUUUCUUCAAUCUCCAUGUACUUUUACUUUCUAUUUUAAAGAAUAUAAUUCACAUUUCUCUAGUGGUUGUGAGUCUGUGUGUAGUGUGAGAAUCUAGUGACAACCGUUCUAAGGUGGCAUGAGAAUGGGCAGCUCAGCUCAGAGUUUAGACCUCAUCUGUUUCCGAUUCCCUGGGGGUUUGGGGGAAUAACUGAGAAAACAAUAGAUUGAUAUGGAGAAACGGAGACUUUGCAGCUUCUCCUGAUUCAGAUAGUCAUUGGGUAACCUUGUUAAAUUUGCUUAAGGUAAUUUCAAGAAUUUCAAUUCUAUAUUCACUUAAAAACACAAAAGUAUAUUACAAAGAAACCUUUAUCAUUUUUAGCUAUUCUUUUUCUUGAAUUCAAGAUUCUAUUUAAGACCUAUAAUUUAUUUAAUAACAGGUUUUAGGGGAGAAAAUGUUGCAAUGAAAAUAUACAUGGAUUCUAAGGUGCCUUUUGAUUUCAGAAUUAUUGAAGUGUAAAGUAAUCAGGUUUUUAGAAUCAAGGAACUAUGGUUCCACUGAAAAUAGAGAGAUAAUAUUGCUUUUCAUUUUUUAACCAGGAACUACAUGACAGUUUCCUAUAUUACCAUUCAUCUGUUUCUGGCUUGGUCUUCUUCGACCUACUUAGACUCGGGAAUACACAUCACUCUCGUUCCUCCUAGUCAGCCUUUCUGUCUUCCUGACAUGUGUAGGUACCUAUUAAGUAAUUUUGUAUAUUUUCCAAAACACUUGUGGUAUGAAAAGGCCAACUGUUAUCAUGGCAAUGAACACUUAUUUUUGCAUUUAAAUUCUAAGAUCUGAUGUCCUAUUUUAGUUAACUUCUAAAUGACUUUAUUUUUUAGAGCAGUUUUAGAGGAAGGUACAGAGAUUUCCCAUGUGCUCCCUGCCCAUACCCAUGUGCAGCCUCCCCAUUACCAAUAUCCCCGCUUAUAAUUGAUGAACUGACAUUGGCAUAUUGUUGUCACCCAGACUCCAUAGUUCCUAUGGGUUCACUCUUGGUGUUGUACAUUCUAUGUGUUUGGACAAAUGUGUAAUGACAUAUAUCCACCUUUAUAAAAAUACAGUGUAUUUUCACUGUCCUAAAAAGCCUCUGUGCUCUGCUAAACACUAAAAUCUAAUGUUCUGUUUUAGUUAAUCUUUAAAAAUGUCUGAAGUAUGGUGAAUACUGCAUAAAAUAUUUAUGUCUCUAAAAUUCCUAUAGUCCAAGCUUGAAACCAUAGUUAAGCUUAAACCAUGUGGUAUUGGAAAUAUAAACCUAAUUUUGUAUCUAUGUUUGAACAAAUCAUGCUGAAUUGUCAGUGGGAUUGUCAGAAGCUUCAUAUUUCCCCUGCUUCCAAGUAUCACUGAUAGCCAACUGGGAGAGAUUUAAUUUGCAUAUUAUUCUCCAAACUUUUUCUGCACCUCAUCUUUUUAAAAACAGCUUUAUCAAGGUACAUUUUAUGUAUCAUAAAGUUCACUCUAUUCAAAUUUGCAGUUCAUUUUUGGUAGAUUUACCAAGUGAUGCAACUAUCAUAAUAAAUCAGUUUUAAAUAACUUUUAUUGUACCAAUAAGGUCCCUUAUGCCCAUUUACAAUUAAUUUCCACCCCAACCUCAGGCAACCACUGUCCUGCUUUCUGUCUCUAUAGAAUUGCCCUUUCUGAAUAUUUCAUAGAAAUGGAAUCACACAGUCACAUGUGAUCUCUUGUGUUUCCCUUUCACUUAGCAGAAUGUUUUCAAGGUUCAUCCACGUUUCAGCAUGUGUCAGUGGUUUGCUGCUUUUCAUUAUUAAAUAGCAUUUCAUCGUAUGGCUGUGCCAUACUCUAUUUAGUAGUUGAUGGACAUUUAGGUGGUUUCCAGUUCUGGGUUAUUAUGAAUAAUGCUGCUAUAACGCUUUGCAUGUAAACCUUUGCAUGGGCAUUUGCAUCCAUUUCUCUUGGGUAGAUACCUAGGAGCAGAAUUGCUCAGCUGUCUGGUAAUUAAAUGCUUACUUUUUUUUAAGAAACUGCCAAACUGUUUUCCACACUGCCUUCUGCAUCUCAUUUUAACAAUUUCUUUAUUGUCAGAGGAAAAAAAUUAUAGUCCCAUCAUUCAUUCACAAAAUUAUUUAUUCCACAUGUAUUUAUUCCACACCUUGUAAAUAAUAUAUAUGAGCAACACAGUUAUUUCUUUCAAGGUACUCACAGUCUGUUGGAGAAGCAGACAAACAACCAGAUAACUAAAUAUAUUAAGAGAGGUCCUGUAAGGGAGGUCUGCGUCUGGGGCUGGAGGCAGACGGGAGGGUACCUAGUCCAGGCUUAAGGGAACAGGGAGAAAGUUUUGGAGAUUGUCACACCUAAGUUGAAUUCCAGAAACUUAUCUAGAGGAAUGAGAUAAGAAGGGCAUUACAGGGCCAGGGAGCAGGAGGAAAGCUGCCUCUCUCACACCCUGGAGCCCUUUACUGAGUGUUUUUUUGUUUGUUUUGAGACUGGAUCUCACUCUGUAGCGCAGGCUGGAGUGCAAGGGGCGCCAUCUCAGCUCACCGCAGCCUUGAACUUCUGGUCUCAAGUAAUCCUCCCACCUUGGCCUCGCAAAGCAUUUGAGAUUAUAGGCAUGAGCCACCACGUCCGGCCAAGAGCAGAGUGUUUAAAGGAGACAUAAGUACUAUAGAUGUGAUUCACAACAUCACAGAGAUGAUCAGCAACCUUUAUGUUUACCCCUUAAUGUUUUAACACCAAUCAUUUUGAUAGAAAUGUGUAUUUAAUGCAGCCUAAUGACAGCAACUGCACGUGAUUCUCUACUGAGAUGAACAAAAUCAGGCACGCUGGGAAAAGCAAAGGAGCUGAACUGUGAGGAAAAAGGCCUUUGAGAUCACAGAACAUCUACAACAAAGUGAAAAGGAAUGUGUUUCUUCUGAAUUUAAGACUAGAUUUGGAAAGACAAGUUUGCACAAUGUCCAAAGGAUGGGUUUGAUACCUCUGGCAGGAAAACAAUUUUUUAUUACAUCAGGAUUUUAAGGGAAGCUUGCAGGUACCAGUACAGAACCUGGAGGAAACUUUUUUCUUUCUUUCUUUUUUUUUUUUUUUUU
Long non-coding RNA from Sapajus apella (tufted capuchin), 3769 nucleotides. RefSeq lists it as uncharacterized. The transcript has 2 exons. The record is from RefSeq and is a predicted model, not a curated record. Lineage: Eukaryota; Metazoa; Chordata; Mammalia; Primates; Cebidae.